Molecule: ribosomal RNA, 981 nt
Filed under: uncultured bacterium
Lineage: Bacteria
Description: bacterial SSU rRNA
Rfam family: Bacterial small subunit ribosomal RNA
Source: RNAcentral
CAGCCGCCGCGGUAAUACGGAGGGUCCGAGCGUUAUCCGGAAUCAUUGGGUUUAAAGGGUCCGUAGGCGGGCCAAUAAGUCAGAGGUGAAAGGCCACGGCUCAACCGUGGGACUGCCUUUGAUACUGUUGGUCUUGAGUUAUAGUGGGGUUGCCGGAACAUGUGGUGUAGCGGUGAAAUGCAUAGAUAUCACAUAGAACACCGAUCGCGAAGGCAGGUGGCCAACUAUAUACUGACGCUGAUGGACGAAAGCGUGGGGAGCGAACGGGAUUAGAUACCCCGGUAGUCCACGCCGUAAACGAUGGAUACUAGCUGUGGGGUUUUCGGACUCCGUGGCCAAGCGAAAGUGAUAAGUAUCCCACCUGGGGAGUACGUUCGCAAGAAUGAAACUCAAAGGAAUUGACGGGGGCCCGCACAAGCGGUGGAGCAUGUGGUUUAAUUCGAUGAUACGCGAGGAACCUUACCAGGGCUUAAAUGCAGUAUGACAGAUUCAGAGAUGGAUUUUUCUUCGGACAUAUUGCAAGGUGCUGCAUGGUUGUCGUCAGCUCGUGCCGUGAGGUGUCAGGUUAAGUCCUAUAACGAGCGCAACCCCUGCCGUUAGUUGCCAGCAUGUAAAGAUGGGGACUCUAACGGGACUGCCGGUGCAAACCGAGAGGAAGGUGGGGACGACGUCAAAUUAUCACGGCCCUUACGUCCUGGGCUACACACGUGCUACAAUGGCCGGUACAGAGGGAAGCCACCCCGCGAGGGGGCGCGGAUCUUCAAAGCCGGUCACAGUUCGGAUCGGGGUCUGCAACUCGAUUCCGUGAAGCUGGAAUCGCUAGUAAUCGCAUAUCAGCCAUGAUGCGGUGAAUACGUUCCCGGGCCUUGUACACACCGCCCGUCAAGCCAUGGAAGCCGGGAGUGCCUGAAGUCCGUCACCGAGAGGAGCGGCCUAGGGCAAGACCGGUAACUAGGGCUAAGUCGUAACAAGGUAACCGUA